CCCAGACUCCUACGGGAGGCAGCAGUGAGGAAUAUUGGUCAAUGGACGAGAGUCUGAACCAGCCAAGUAGCGUGAAGGAUGACUGCCCUAUGGGUUGUAAACUUCUUUUAUAUGGGAAUAAAAUGUUCCACGUGUGGGAUUUUGUAUGUACCAUAUGAAUAAGGAUCGGCUAACUCCGUGCCAGCAGCCGCGGUAAUACGGAGGAUCCGAGCGUUAUCCGGAUUUAUUGGGUUUAAAGGGAGCGUAGGUGGAUUGUUAAGUCAGGUGUGAAAGUUUGCGGCUCAACCGUAAAAUUGCAGUUGAAACUGGCAGUCUUGAGUACAGUAGAGGUGGGCGGAAUUCGUGGUGUAGCGGUGAAAUGCAUAGAUAUCACGCAGAACUCCGAUUGCGAAGGCAGCAUACCGGCGCUCAACUGACGCUCAGGCACGAAAGUGUGGGUAUCAAACAGGAUUAGAUACCCCGGUA
Molecule: ribosomal RNA, 465 nt
Filed under: uncultured bacterium
Lineage: Bacteria
Description: bacterial SSU rRNA
Rfam family: Bacterial small subunit ribosomal RNA
Source: RNAcentral